AUUGAACGCUGGCGGCAUGCUUUACACAUGCAAGUCGAACGGCAGCGCGGGCUUCGGCCUGGCGGCGAGUGGCGAACGGGUGAGUAAUACAUCGGAACGUGCCCAGUAGUGGGGGAUAGCUCGGCGAAAGCCGGAUUAAUACCGCAUACGACCUGAGGGUGAAAGCGGGGGAUCUUCGGACCUCGCGCUAUUGGAGCGGCCGAUGGCAGAUUAGCUAGUUGGUGGGGUAAAGGCCUACCAAGGCGACGAUCUGUAGCUGGUCUGAGAGGACGACCUGCCACACUGGGACUGAGACACGGCCCAGACUCCUACGGGAGGCAGCAGUGGGGAAUUUUGGACAAUGGGCGAAAGCCUGAUCCAGCAAUGCCGCGUGUGUGAUGAAGGCCUUCGGGUUGUAAAGCACUUUUGGCGGGAACGAAAAGGACUGUGCCAAUACCACGGUUCGAUGACGGUACCCGCAGAAUAAGCACCGGCUAACUACGUG
RNAcentral lists this ribosomal RNA (484 nucleotides) under uncultured bacterium. RNAcentral's name for it is "partial 16S ribosomal RNA". It matches the Rfam family "Bacterial small subunit ribosomal RNA", at positions 29 to 507 of the family's 1533-position model. The record is from RNAcentral.